Long non-coding RNA from Oncorhynchus tshawytscha (Chinook salmon), 687 nucleotides. NCBI's taxonomy places the organism in Eukaryota, Metazoa, Chordata, Actinopteri, Salmoniformes, Salmonidae. The record is from Ensembl.
GGGGCAGGCUAGUAGAAUGGUGAUGGAGGGGUAGGCUAGCAGAUUGGUGAAGGAGGGGCAGGCUAGUAGAAUGGUGAUGGGGCAGGCUAGUAGAAUGGUGAUGGGGCAGGCUAGCAGAUUGGUGAAGGAGGGGCAGGCUAGUAGAAUGGUGAAGGAGGGGCAGGCUAGUAGAAUGAUGAUGGGGGCAGGCUAGUAGAAUGGUGAUGGCGGGGCAGGCUAGUAGAAUGGUGAUGGCGGGGCAGGCUAGUAGAAUGGUGAUGGGGGCAGGCUAGUAGAAUGGUGAUGGAGGGGCAGGCUAGUAGAAUGGUGAUGGGGGCAGGCUAGUAGAAUGGUGAUGGGGGCAGGCUAGUAGAAUGGUGAUGGAAGGGCAGGCUAGUAGAAUGGUGAUGGGGGCAGACUAGUAGAAUGGUGAUGGGGGCAGGCUAGUAGAAUGGUGAUGGAGGGGCAGGCUAGUAGAAUGGUGAUGGGGGCAGGCUAGUAGAAUGGUGAUGGGGGCAGGCUAGCAGAAUGGUGAAGGAGGGGCAGGCUAGUAGAUUGGUGAAGGACCCCCUUGGGUUGUGCCGUGGCGGAGAUCUUUGUGGGCUAUACUCAGCCUUGUCUUGCUGUCCCCAGUCCACCUGGCCAUGCUGCUGCUCCAGUUUCAACUUCCACCUCACUGUGCUGCUGCUCCAGUUUCAACUGUUCUGC